This 490-nucleotide ribosomal RNA is filed under the name uncultured Alphaproteobacteria bacterium. Its description in RNAcentral is "bacterial SSU rRNA". It matches the Rfam family "Bacterial small subunit ribosomal RNA", at positions 387 to 896 of the family's 1533-position model. The record is from RNAcentral. Lineage: Bacteria; Pseudomonadati; Pseudomonadota; Alphaproteobacteria.
UGCAGCGAUGCCGCGUGAGUGAAGAAGGCCCUUGGGUUGUAAAACUCUUUCGUCGGGGAAGAAAAUGACUGUACCCGAAUAAGAAGGUCCGGCUAACUUCGUGCCAGCAGCCGCGGUAAUACGAAGGGACCUAGCGUAGUUCGGAAUUACUGGGCUUAAAGAGUUCGUAGGUGGUUAAAAAAGUUGAUGGUGAAAUCCCAAGGCUCAACCUUGGAACUGCCAUCAAAACUUUUUAGCUAGAGUGUGAUAGAGGAAAGUGGAAUUUCUAGUGUAGAGGUGAAAUUCGUAGAUAUUAGAAAGAACAUCAAAAGCGAAGGCAACUUUCUGGAUCAUUACUGACACUGAGGAACGAAAGCAUGGGUAGCGAAGAGGAUUAGAUACCCUCGUAGUCCAUGCCGUAAACGAUGUGUGCUAGACGUUGGAAACUUAGUUUUCAGUGUCGCAGCGAAAGCAUUAAGCACACCGCCUGGGGAGUACGACCGCAAGGUUA